AUGAUGAAAAUUAUUAUUAGUAAUUAUUUAUUAAUUUUUAAAUAACUUCUUUUAAGUCAUUAAAAAAAAUAAUUUGAAAUAGACUUGAGUUUUUAUUUUAUAAAGAAAAAAUAAUAUUUAUUAUAGUUAAUUUGUAUUGAAAAAGAUCAUUGAAAUAUUUUGAAAAAUUAUUAAAUUUAAAGAAAAUUUAAUUUAUUGUACCUUGUGUAUCAGGGUUUAUUAAAUAAUUAAUAUUAUAUUUUAUUUUUCUCGAAUUAAAGAGAUCUAAAAAUUUAUUUAAUUUAAUGUUGCAUAAUUAUUUAUAAUUUAUUUUUAGAAAUGAAACGUUAUUCGUUCUUUAUGAUAUCUAGUUUUUUAAGAAAUAAAUUUAAUUUAAAAAUUUUAUAAUAAUUUAUUUGUUAAAAAUAUUUUAUUUAUAUAAAUUUUAAUAUUUUAAGGGAUAAUCUUUAAAAUAUAUUUUUAUAAUCUUUUAAAUAAUUUAUAAAAUAUUAUAGGAUUAAUAGUAUUCAAUAAUAAAAAUUAUGUUAUAAUAUAUUUUUAUAAUAAAAAAUUUAUUUUAAUUUAAUUUUUUUAUUAAAAAUUUAAUUAAAAAUUAAGUAUUUUAAGAUAUAAUGAUAAAAUUAGUAUAUUCUAUAAUUAAAUUAAUAUUAAUUUUAAUGUUAGGUUUUUAUAAGUAACUCGGCAAAUUUUUUACUUGCCUGUUUAUCAAAAACAUGUCUUUUUGAAUUUUAUUUAAAGUCUAACCUGCCCACUGAUUUAUUAUUAAAGGGCCGCGGUAUUUUGACCGUGCAAAGGUAGCAUAAUCAUUAGUCUUUUAAUUGAAGGCUCGUAUGAAUGGUUGGACAUAGUAUUAGCUGUCUCUUAAAAAUUUAGUAUAAAAUUUAACUUUUUAAUUAAAAGGUUAAAAUAUUUUUAAAAGACGAGAAGACCCCAUAGAGCUUUAUAUUGAGUAGAUUUAAUUUAUUCAGAAUUAAUUAAAGUAAAAUUUAUUUUUAAUAUUUUGUUGGGGUGACAAUAAAAUUUAUAAAACUUUUAUUAUUUUUAAUACAUUAAUAUAUGAUUAAUUGAUCCAAUUUUAUUGAUUAAAAUUUUAAGUUACCUUGGGGAUAACAGCGUAAUUUUUUUUAAGAGUUCUUAUCGACAAAAAAGAUUGCGACCUCGAUGUUGGAUUAAGAGUUAUUUUUGGGUGUAGAAGUUCAAAGUUUAGGUCUGUUCGACCUUUAAAUUCUUACAUGAUCUGAGUUCAAACCGGUGUAAGCCAGGUUGGUUUCUAUCUUUAAAAAUUGAAAUAUCUUAGUACGAAAGGACCAGAUCUUAAAUAUAUUAAAUAUUUUAUAAUUUGAAUGUUAUUAAUGAUUAUUACUGAUAAAAUAA
This 1374-nucleotide ribosomal RNA is filed under the name Paracladura trichoptera. RNAcentral describes it as "16S ribosomal RNA". The stretch from base 1106 to 1265 matches the Rfam family "Archaeal large subunit ribosomal RNA", at positions 2542 to 2701 of the family's 2987-position model. Lineage: Eukaryota; Metazoa; Arthropoda; Insecta; Diptera; Trichoceridae. The record is from RNAcentral.